This 351-nucleotide unclassified non-coding RNA is filed under the name soil metagenome. RNAcentral's name for it is "partial contains 5.8S ribosomal RNA, internal transcribed spacer 2, and large subunit ribosomal RNA". The stretch from base 1 to 120 matches the Rfam family "5.8S ribosomal RNA", at positions 35 to 154 of the family's 154-position model. The record is from RNAcentral.
GAUGAAGAACGUAGUGAAACGCGAUAUGUAAUGUGAAUUGCAGAAUUCAGUGAAUCAUCGAAUCUUUGAACGCACAUGGCGCCUUCCAGUAUCCUGGGAGGCAUGCCUGUCCGAGCGUCGUUUCAACCCUCGAGCCCCCGUGGCCCGGCGUUGGGGAUCUGCCACGGCAGGCCCCUAAAACCAGUGGCGGACCCGAAGGCUCUCUCCUUUGCGCAGUAGCAUCAGCCUCGCAUUGGGAUCCCUCGGCGUCCUGCCUCUAAACCCCCCACAAGUCCGCUCCGGCGGCACCAAGGUUGACCUCGGAUCAGGUAGGAAUACCCGCUGAACUUAAGCAUAUCAAUAAGCGGAGGA